This 491-nucleotide ribosomal RNA is filed under the name uncultured bacterium. Its description in RNAcentral is "partial 16S ribosomal RNA". It matches the Rfam family "Bacterial small subunit ribosomal RNA", at positions 28 to 507 of the family's 1533-position model. The record is from RNAcentral.
GAUGAACGCUGGCUACAGGCUUAACACAUGCAAGUCGAGGGGAAACGACGGGGAAGCUUGCUUCCCCGGGCGUCGACCGGCGCACGGGUGAGUAACGCGUAUCCAACCUGCCUCUGACUGAGGGAUAACCCGUCGAAAGUCGGCCUAAUACCUCAUGGUAUCGUCUGCGGGCAUCCAACGACGAUUAAAGAUUUCAUCGGUCAGGGAUGGGGAUGCGUCUGAUUAGCUUGUUGGCGGGGUAACGGCCCACCAAGGCUACGAUCAGUAGGGGUUCUGAGAGGAAGGGCCCCCACAUUGGAACUGAGGCACGGUCCAAACUCCUACGGGAGGCAGCAGUGAGGAAUAUUGAUCAAUGGGCGAGAGCCUGAACCAGCCAAGUAGCGUGCAGGAAGACGGCCCUAUGGGUUGUAAACUGCUUUUAUGCGGGGAUAAAGUGAGGGACGUGUCCCUCAUUGCAGGUACCGCAUGAAUAAGGACCGGCUAAUUCCGUG